CUGACCUCAAAUCAGGUAGGACUACCCGCUGAACUUAAGCAUAUCAAAGCCGGAGGA
This 57-nucleotide ribosomal RNA is filed under the name uncultured fungus. RNAcentral's name for it is "partial 26S ribosomal RNA". Lineage: Eukaryota; Fungi. The record is from RNAcentral.